ACUCAAAUGAAUUGACGGGGGCCCGCACAAGCGGUGGAGCAUGUGGUUUAAUUCGAUGCAACGCGAAGAACCUUACCUACUCUUGACAUCCAGAGAACUUUCCAGAGAUGGAUUGGUGCCUUCGGGAACUCUGAGACAGGUGCUGCAUGGCUGUCGUCAGCUCGUGUUGUGAAAUGUUGGGUUAAGUCCCGCAACGAGCGCAACCCUUAUCCUUUGUUGCCAGCGGUUAGGCCGGGAACUCAAAGGAGACUGCCAGUGAUAAACUGGAGGAAGGUGGGGAUGACGUCAAGUCAUCAUGGCCCUUACGAGUAGGGCUACACACGUGCUACAAUGGCGCAUACAAAGAGAAGCGACCUCGCGAGAGCAAGCGGACCUCAUAAAGUGCGUCGUAGUCCGGAUUGGAGUCUGCAACUCGACUCCAUGAAGUCGGAAUCGCUAGUAAUCGUAGAUCAGAAUGCUACGGUGAAUACGUUCCCGGGCCUUGUACACACCGCCCGUCACACCAUGGGAGUGGGUUGCAAAAGAAGUAGGUAGCUUAACCUUCGGGAGGGCGCUUACCACUUUG
RNAcentral lists this ribosomal RNA (565 nucleotides) under Enterobacter sp. DJM24. RNAcentral describes it as "bacterial SSU rRNA". It matches the Rfam family "Bacterial small subunit ribosomal RNA", at positions 899 to 1464 of the family's 1533-position model. Lineage: Bacteria; Pseudomonadati; Pseudomonadota; Gammaproteobacteria; Enterobacterales; Enterobacteriaceae. The record is from RNAcentral.